UUUUAUAACUUGGAUUAUGAAACUAAACUUUAACCCAAAAUUAACCCUGCCUCUCUCCCCACCCCACCCCGUUCUCCUUGACUUCAUGGCAAGUUUAAAGGGCAGCAUGGGGUUCUUUAUGAGUCUGAGAGCCGUCUCCCACGGUCUGUGCCCCCUUCUGCCACCCUACCCUCUCAUGGACUCCCAGAGCCAGGUGGGAGUCCCACCCAUCCCUCUAACUCCUAACCCCCAAGGUCAUCUCCAGUCACACAUUUUUUUUUUUUUUUCGGGAUCAAUGGUGUUUGAUUUGUAGCCAUUUCCAUCAGGAGCAAAGUCUCUCCCAGCCCAUUCUAGGUCAGCCAUGCUCAUCGCUGCACUGUUAGUGAACUGUAUUCAGGAGUGUGCUCCCAGACCACCUGCCCACACCAGCCUGGGUUAGCGCAAGGAGUAAAUCCUCAACUCCGAGGUGCCCGCCCCGCCCCACAGGGUGCAGGGUCAGCCUGGAAGCUACAGGGCAACCCUGCAGUGCUGCCGGGCAGGGUGUGUCAGGGGCUUGGGAUGUGCCCCAGGGCAAUGACUAGACUGUAUCCACCAUAGUGAGAGCGCUGCCUAGGCAGGAAGACACUUGCCUGUGUGUAGCCAGGCUACCCUAGUUCCUCAGCCCCACUUUGGACCUGGAACAGGGUUACAGGUUUGGGAAAGGAAGCGUUCUGCCUUUCUUUCUUUUAACGCAUUCUGCCAGUAAGGGGACUGUCACCUCACUCCUUCUAGAAAAUGAUCGGGAAGCCAAGCCUGAUGGGAUGGCCAAUUAUUUACCUGUGGGUGGCCUCUCCGUGGCAAAAGCUCUUUGCUCUGAAUUUCGAAGACCACAAAGACUCACUUGGGUGUGUGCAUCAGUCUAGGCCACAGAGGGCUCACUGGGUGUUGAUGGCCUAGUUUCACCUUCCCCAGCUCCUGAAGCCCUUACUCACCCCAGCUCCUCCCCAGGAUGCUCCUGCAGCCUCAACUACUGCAGGUCAGCAUGAACUCAACUGCAUUCCCUUAUAGGGAGACACAGGGAGACAUUCAGGGAGAGUCUGUUGAGUACCUACCUUGAACCUGGUACCAUGCUAAACCUGGCAGGCAACUCCAAACAGUAGAAAACGUGGCCUCUGCUCCCCAGGGGCUCUCAGGCUUCAUUUAGGGAUCAGACAUCAUCCUAUGGACGGCCCUUUUUUUGUCUUUGAUUUUUGUCUAGCUCCAACGUUUGGGUUUUUUUUUUUUUUUUUCCUUCCAUUAUGACUUAUAGGGGAAGCUUCCUGAAGUGAGAAGCACUUGCUGAGGGCCGUGGGGUGGGAGGCAGCUUCGUUUUUGCUCAGGGUGGCAACUUGGAUCCAUCAGGGCUAUGGUGUCAGGGUAGGAGGUCUGGGGGGGCCUUGAGGUCUGUGCCCACCUCAGCCAACUCCUCUGGGCCAGCCUGCCCACCUGUUCCUAAUUCCCCUAGGACCUGAGGUGAGCAGGGCUCAGGGGACCCCACCAGGUGAGGUCCCUGCCGACUCCUAGAUAACUUCACUAUCAGUGGUCACUUUUCUUUUCCCUUCACCUGGUAGUUUGAAAUGUCAUCUUUUCUUGUGCUCAGUCGAGAGU
Molecule: long non-coding RNA, 1605 nt
Filed under: Homo sapiens (human)
Lineage: Eukaryota; Metazoa; Chordata; Mammalia; Primates; Hominidae
Description: non-protein coding lnc-DYNLL2-4:1
Source: RNAcentral